RNAcentral lists this non-coding RNA (21 nucleotides) under Caenorhabditis elegans. The record is from RNAcentral. Lineage: Eukaryota; Metazoa; Nematoda; Chromadorea; Rhabditida; Rhabditidae.
UAUCUUUUUUUUCUCUGCUUA